RNAcentral lists this transfer RNA (77 nucleotides) under Acetoanaerobium sticklandii. RNAcentral's name for it is "tRNA-Arg (ACG) (tRNA-Arg-ACG-1-1)". It matches the Rfam family "tRNA". From Rfam's summary of the family: Transfer RNA (tRNA) molecules are approximately 80 nucleotides in length. Their secondary structure includes four short double-helical elements and three loops (D, anti-codon, and T loops). Lineage: Bacteria; Bacillati; Bacillota; Clostridia; Peptostreptococcales; Filifactoraceae. RNAcentral also lists the same sequence under 1 other name. The record is from RNAcentral.
GUGCCCAUAGCUCAGCCGGAUAGAGUAUUUGACUACGAAUCAAAGGGUCGGGGGUUCGAAUCCCUCUGGGCACACCA